CGCUGGCGGCGUGCCUAAUACAUGCCCGUAGAACGCUGAAGAGAGGAGCUUGCUCUUCUUGGAUGAGUUGCGAACGGGUGAGUAACGCGUAGGUAACCUGCCUUGUAACGGGGGAUAACUAUUGGAAACGAUAGCUAAUACCGCAUAACAAUGGAUGACACAUGUCAUUUAUUUGAAAGGGGCAAAUGCUCCACUACCAGAUGGACCUGCGUUGUAUUAGCUAGUAGGUGAGGUAACGGCUCACCUAGGCGACGAUACAUAGCCGACCUGAGAGGGUGAUCGGACACGCUGGCACUGACACACGGCCCAGACUCCUACGGGAGGCAGCAGUAGGGAAUCUUCGGCAAUGGGGGCAACCCUGACCGAGCAACGCCGCGUGAGUGAAGAAGGUUUUCGGAUCGUAAAGCUCUGUUGUAAGUCAAGAACGAGUGUGAGAGUGGAAAGUUCACACUGUGACGGUAGCUUACCAGAAAGGGACGGCUAACUACGUGCCAGCAGCCGCGGUCAUACGUAGGUCCCGAGCGUUGUCCGGAUUUAUUGGGCGUAAAGCGCGCGCAGGCCGUUUGAUAAGUCUGAAGUUAAAGGCUGUGGCUCAACCAUAGUUCGCUUUGGAAACUGUCAAACUUGAGUGCAGAAUGGGAGAGUGGAAUUCCAUGUGUAGCGGUGAAAUGCGUAGAUAUAUGGAGGAACACCGGUGGCCAAAGCGGCUCUCUGGUCUGUAACUGACGCUGAGGCUCGAAAGCGUGGGGAGCGAACAGGAUUAGAUACCCUGGUAGUCCACGCCGUAAACGAUGAGUGCUAGGUGUUGGAUCCUUUCCGGGAUUCAGUGCCGCAGCUAACGCAUUAAGCACUCCGCCUGGGGAGUACGACCGCAAGGUUGAAACUCAAAGGAAUUGACGGGGGCCCGCACAAGCGGUGGAGCAUGUGGUUUAAUUCGAAGCAACGCGAAGAACCUUACCAGGUCUUGACAUCCCGAUGCUAUUUCUAGAGAUAGAAAGUUACUUCGGUACAUCGGUGACAGGUGGUGCAUGGUUGUCGUCAGCUCGUGUCGUGAGAUGUUGGGUUAAGUCCCGCAACGAGCGCAACCCCUAUUGUUAGUUGCCAUCAUUCAGUUGGGCACUCUAGCGAGACUGCCGGUAAUAAACCGGAGGAAGGUGGGGAUGACGUCAAAUCAUCAUGCCCCUUAUGACCUGGGCUACACACGUGCUACAAUGGUUGGUACAACGAGUUGCGAGUCGGUGACGGCAAGCUAAUCUCUUAAAGCCAAUCUCAGUUCGGAUUGUAGGCUGCAACUCGCCUACAUGAAGUCGGAAUCGCUAGUAAUCGCGGAUCAGCACGCCGCGGUGAAUACGUUCCCGGGCCUUGUACACACCGCCCGUCACACCACGAGAGUUUGUAACACCCGAAGUAGAAGAGGUAACCUUUUGGAGCCAGCCGCCUAAGGUGGGAUAGAAAAUGGGGGUGAAGUC
This 1469-nucleotide ribosomal RNA is filed under the name uncultured organism. Its description in RNAcentral is "SSU rRNA". It matches the Rfam family "Bacterial small subunit ribosomal RNA". The record is from RNAcentral.